CCCUUAGAUGUCCUGGGCCGCACGCGCGUUACACUGAUGCAUUCAACGAGCUUAUAACCUUGGCCGAGAGGCCUGGGCAAUCUUGUUAACGUGCAUCGUGAUAGGGAUAGAUUAUUGAAAUUAUUAAUCUUGAACGAGGAAUUCCUAGUAAACGCAGAUCAUCAAUCUGCAUUGAUUACGUCCCUGCCCUUUGUACACACCGCCCGUCGCACCUACCGAUUGGAUGGUCCGGUGAAGCCUCGGGAUUGCGGUUCUUGCCGCUUUAUUGUAGCGUGACCGCGAGAACUUGUCUAAACCUUAUCAUCUAGAGGAAGGUGAAGUCGUAACA
RNAcentral lists this ribosomal RNA (328 nucleotides) under uncultured eukaryote. RNAcentral describes it as "partial 18S ribosomal RNA". It matches the Rfam family "Eukaryotic small subunit ribosomal RNA", at positions 1470 to 1796 of the family's 1831-position model. The record is from RNAcentral.